Manis pentadactyla (Chinese pangolin) is the source of this 4771-nucleotide long non-coding RNA. RefSeq lists it as uncharacterized. The record is from RefSeq and is a predicted model, not a curated record. The transcript has 6 exons. Lineage: Eukaryota; Metazoa; Chordata; Mammalia; Pholidota; Manidae.
UUAUUACCUUUCUCAUUUUUCUAAGUACUAAAAUGUCUGAAAAUUCCCCUCAGGUUGUGGUUUUCUCCCAGUUUUAUUAAGUAACCUUUAACAUCUUUCCCAAAGUUUCAUUUCCUUGAAAUGAGUCACAUCCUGAGCUCUUCUGUUUAUUAGUGCUUUUCCUUAGUACUUGAAUGUCUUGAAUAUUCUCACUAGGGAAUUAUCCUAUAUGGGUGCAGAUGAAGUUUGUUAAACACCCAAAAUAAUUUGCAGUCAAGUUUAUAAAAUAAUUUAUGAUAGGAAAUACUGAAUUUUUUUAAAAAAGAUUAGGCUAAAUGAUGUCCUGCCACUGACUUUUCCUGAGAGUACUAGAGUUGGGAUGAUUUUUUUAAUGGUAAAGUUCGAAGGGUUGACUUUGAAGAAUGGUAUUUUGGGUUUUUAAGCCAAAAUCUUGGGGCCUGCCACUGCCACCACUAACUGGGGGAAUUGUCCUGAGGACGUGUGUUAGUGAAAGCCCGCUCCAGUCUGAGUUGUGUGGGGAAGGGCUAUCAUUUCCCUGCCAAAUGCAGCUUCUCCUGGCACAGAUUCCUCCUAGGCUGUUGGGAUUGCCGAGUGAUGGCAGUGAGACGCGACAGCCAGCGUCAAGUGGGAACCAGGUCAGUCCUACCAUUGUGCUGCUCUUGUAAUUUGGGGGGAAUUUAUAGGUUUUGUCCUCAAAAAUUGUGCUCUCAACUCACCAAGACAAUGGUAAACCUGUGGAUAUCAAUUUCAGCAUGGCUUUUGAGAAAUACUUUCUGUAGUUAGAUAAAAAUUUUGUAGCUUUCUACCAUUUAAACUAAAUGCAGGUGUUGUUGAACCAUUAAUUUUCUCACUACCCCUCUGUAAGAAAAAUACCAACAGAUUUCAUAUUGCCCUGGCUUUCCUGAACACAGCUUAGUUUUUACCCAUCUAGAACCAUUCCUUUUUGCUUUUCCUUCUUUACCAGUUUUAGUAUCUCCACUUUUCUGUUUUCCUUUAAAAAUACUACUGAAGAUCAUUAUCUGAAAAUGAACAGUUAAAAAGUUAUCUUUUUCUGUCCCUUUGCUGUUUAUACAGAAAGAAAAAUAGUGAACAAGGUCUCAAACUAAAUUGACUAACUUGGAAGGGGAAAAAAUGGAAAACUAACCAGCAAGGGUUAGAUACAGGGCAUUCUUUUCAGUAAUAAGCAGAGGUUUCAUAAGCCAGUACUGACAAGAAGCAAGCAAAUAGGUUGUGAUUUUGAAACUUCGAUGGCUAGAAUGUGAGUCCUUAGAUGUCAUUAAGAAGCAACCAAAUGUAAGAUAAACAGUAAAUUAUAUAGAAAUGGAACUAUUAUAAGUAAUGUGGGUUAGUAUUGGUGGUCUUACAUUACAAAUGAGAAAACUAGCGAUUUCUAAUUGUGUCUCUCAAAUCACAGCUAGUCAAUGUUGAAGCAGGAACUCAAAUCCCAUGUUUUUACAGAAGAAUAAACUGGCUUGGUUCUCAUCUGGGUCACUGAAUGUGAACGCCAGUGAGGCAUGCUGGCUGUCCCAUGAUACUUACUUCCAUGUCCCAGGAAAUAGUGUAAUCAUACUUUGAGGAAAAUUUGAAAAAUUUUAUUUAACUAUGAAAACUAGGAAUCUUCUAACAGUAAACUUUAAAAGAAACUGCUCAAAUAUGUAUCUGAAGUAACUAUUAGAAAAUAUUUUCUUGACAUUCAAUUUGUAGAAUUCAAAGGGACAAUUCAGAGGCAAUGAUAUAAUCAGUGGUAUCAGUUGAAACAGAUUAUGUAUCUUAGGAAUCCUGCCUCAUUCAUCUUCACCAUUUAUAUAUUAUUAAUUUUCUACACUAGCUAUGGAAAAAAUAGUUCUCAUGAAAUACCUAGUAGAGGUCCAUGGAAGCAUUUCCUGUGUACUUUACCUGGGGGCACUGAUAGUGGACUGCACUUAAUGGAGUUAUCAAAUAUGCCUAAUGACCUGCAGUUUGGAAGCCAAUAUGGGGUAGAGUUCUGCACCUUUCUAUCCUUGUUUUUCAUUUCAAAAUAUUAAACACAGCCAAUGAGAAGUGUGAAAUAGGUAAAAAAAAUACUGUUUUGAAAAUACUCAUUCCUUUCCCUGUAAUUCACAUUGGCUAGCAGCCAUUCUGCCCUUAUGGCUCAUAUAGGGACAGAGAGAAGAUAAUGGUGACUUUAGGGAAGUCCACCUAUUUCAGGCCCAAUAGAUUUUGAGAAGGAGAAGGGUACAAAAGGUAAGCAGCAUUUUAGACAUGUAGGUUCUGAUCUCUAUAGCACAAACUUCACCUGUGUAAGUACUGUGAGGUGGCAGUAAUGACAACUUCCACAUAAUGAGCAUGACUUGUUUAUCCCCUGACUAUAGUCAAUGACUGUGUCACUCUUUAGGAGGGUCCAAGAGAUGGAAACAGAAGGCCUGCGUAAGAAAUCCUGAAGGCAUCAGGACCUUAAAUCCAGAGCCGCUGAGUUGCACAACAGCAGGGGGCACCAUUCUCCUGGGAUACCAGGGAAGUCAUUUAACAAUGUCUGAUGUCCGUUGAGCUAUGGGAUGUGGCCCUUUUUGGAAUUUCUGAGUUCACAGUUUGCACGCCGCUCUUCCUGUUCUUAGUCCCACUUCUGGAUGGAUGAUAGUUCAGAAAAGCUUUCCAGCCCUAGAUCUCAUCCAUCAUCAUCUCUUACUUGCACAGGUUCAGAAGAUUCCAAGUCAUGCACGAUCAGUUCCUAUUUCUUCAAUCACCUGGGGCCUGUUUUCUCUUUUUCAAACACAUUAAGUCCUGUCCCUCUUCAGGACUUUUAUUCUUGCUGCAUCCUUUACCUGGAAUGCCUUUAAAGGUUAGCAUGGUCAGUUUUCAUGGUCUUUGAUUACUUUAUUGGUUUCCAAAUACAACAAUCUCAGUAAAUCAGGAUGACAUUGGCUGGAGCAAUUUACAAUACAUGUGCAUUCACUAUUCCUGAGGACAAGAAAAAAGUUUCACAGUGAUGGAGCCAAAGCUAAAGGACAGAUGGAAAGAAUAAAAGGCCUGAACAUGAAGAAAAUGUAAUAGAGGAAAACACAGAAGAAAAGAAAGCUGGAUUUUAGUUAUUUAUCUAAUUUCAUUAAAUGGCAGUGGUAAAUCGAAGAUGAUCCAGAAUAUGGCACACAAAAUAGGCUACUUUGGCAAAAGGAUUAUUUUGAGCUGAUAUCAACGGAGGAACAGCAGACAUAAAAAAAAAAUGCAUGAAAGCUGGGCAUAAAUUUCCCUAUGUGAAGGUAUCUCCAUCUUUUAUACCAGGGAGGGAAAAACAACCUUUAUCACAGAUCAAGAUGACGCCAAGAUAAGUCUGCAUAAGCAAACCUUACUAAAUAACUCUACCUUCCAUUAGUUUCCUGCAUAUAUUUACUUUCCCACAAUUCACUACCCCUAGAAGCCCAAACCCCUUUUACUUUGUCUUGUCACUUCUCCAUAAUCCAUCACCCUUUGUUAACAUGGUAUAUAAGGCCCCCUGAGUUUAACUGCUUCUUUGCAUCUUCACUUUAUGUGAAGGUUUCUGUGCAUGUAAAAAUAUUAAAAUAUUAAAAUAUAAUUGGUAUGCCUUUUCUCCUGUGAGUCUGUCUUUUGUCAGUCUAAUUUGCAGGCCAGAGACAUAGAAGCUAAGAGGAUAGAGGAAAUUUUGCCUUCCCAACAUAAUUAUUUGAGAACUUAAUCCACUAGGCAUUUGCUCUCACAGUUUUCUUUCAAGUGGGAAGAGAUAGUGGUAAAGUAGAAGGAACUUUGCAUUAGGCAAGUCUGGAUUGACUCUUGAAUCUACUAAAUGUACGACCAUUGGCGUGUGAUUUAAACUGUGCGCCUCGGUUUCUCCAUCUGUGAAACAAAGACGGUAAGUAAUUCUAAUUACUUAAUGUAAGUAAUUACUUAAUGUAAUUGUUUUGAGGGUUAAAUAAGAUGAAAUAUGUAAAAUACUUAGCAUAAAGUGGAGCCUUGGUAACAUUUAGUUUGUUUUGUUGUGUAUCUCCAUUGUUAAAGAUUGUUGGAAAGAGGUGUUUAGGGAGCAGGAUGGAUAAAUGUGAAUGGAGCUGUUCUCUUUCUCUAGGUGAGGCUGCCACAGAAAUACAUAGCGGUCUCAUUGUGUUCGCUGGCAGUUUUGCACAAAGGGCUUGCAAUUGAAAGAGGAAUCUGAGAAAAAUCCAAGAUCCCAGGGUAUAAAAUAAGAGCACAGAAGGGAAAGCACUAUAAUUGUGGGUAUUGCUGAAUGAUUUAGAAGAAGAGGGAAAGAGCAUAUCUGAUUGCCAGUAUGAAGCAGGAGCUUGCACCCAAUCAUUCUGUUUUAAGGGCCCCUAUUAAGGAAAAAAUCCAAAAUACAUAAACACAAUCAAGUACACAGGUGGUCAUCUCAGCCUUACGAGACAGAAAAACUAAAAAACAACCUGAGUAACCAAAAAUUGUAAAUUAAUUAACUUACAGUAUUUUUAUGAGGGAGUAUUACUUAGCCACUAUAAACAAUACAGAAUAAGUAUAUGUAUUAUCAGUUCAAUUAUUUAAGAAAAAAGUGCACAGAUGAAAAAAGACCUGAAGAACAUACAAAACAGUAUAAAAGUACUUAAUAGUGGGAGGGUGGAUUAUAAAUGUGGAAUUUCAAUGUUCUUCUUUUUAGUAAAGUUGCCUAUUUUGAAACCUUUAAAUAGGCUUCAAAAUUAAAUUGCAAUAUUUCUUGGUUUUAAUUUUGAAUGAUAAUAUAUGUGCAGUUAGAAUGUUGGUAUAUAUAAAGUACAGAUUAUGAACAGUAGUAGAAAAAUUCUAAUAAAAG